This 1545-nucleotide ribosomal RNA is filed under the name Triticum aestivum (bread wheat). RNAcentral's name for it is "partial small subunit ribosomal RNA". Lineage: Eukaryota; Viridiplantae; Streptophyta; Magnoliopsida; Poales; Poaceae. The record is from RNAcentral.
AUGGCAAACCUCGUGCAGGAGCUCAUGCUAGAGACGCCCCCGCGGGCAUGGUUUCUGUUCCUGCUCCCCCUCCUCCUCUUGUCUCUGCAUCACUGGUUCACCAGAAAGACAGGAUCAACAGGGCAGCGCCUCCCACCUUCGCCGCCGGCGCUGCCCAUAAUCGGGCACCUGCACCUCGUCGGCGCCCUCCCACACGUCUCCCUCCGUGACCUGGCCAGGAAGCACGGUCCGGACGUGAUGCUCCUCCGGCUGGGCGCCGUGCCCACCCUCGUCGUGUCCUCUCCGCGCGCCGCAGAGGCAGUGCUGCGCACGCACGACCACGUCCUGGCGUCGCGGCCACGCUCCGUUGUCUCCGACAUCAUCAUGUACGGCUCCUCUGACAUCGCCUUCGCGCCAUACGGCGAGUACUGGCGGCAGGCAAGGAAGCUUGUCACCACCCACAUGCUGAGUGUUAAGAAGGUGCAGUCUUUUCGCAGCGCCGGCGCGGAGGAGGUCAGCAUGUCGAUGGCCAAGAUCAACGAGGCAGCCACAGCUAGUGGUACAGUCGACAUGAGCGAGCUGCUCAACUCAUUCUCGAAUGACAUGGCGUGCCGUAUCGUGUCGGGCAAGUUCUUCCUGAAAGAUGGACGGAGCAAGUUGUUCCGGGAACUCAUCAACGACACCUCACGGCUUCUGGGCGGGUUCAACUUGGAGGAGUACUUCCCAGCAUUGGGUAGGGUAGGAGUGCUUAAGAGGGCGGUAUGUGCCAAGGCCGAAAGAGUGAGGAACAGAUGGGCUGAUCUGCUGGACAAGGUGAUCGACGAUCGUGUGAGCAAGCGUAAAUCAGCGUCUGAUCACAAGGAUGGCGACUUCGUAGAUAUUCUGUUGUCUGUUCAGCAAGAGUAUGAUCUCACAAGAGAGCACAUGAAAGCUCUCCUCACGGAUGUAUUUUUCGGUGCAACAGACACGUCAGCUAACGUCCUCGAAUUCACCUUGGCUGAGCUCAUGAGAAGGCCACACUUCAUGCGGAAGCUACAAGAUGAAGUAAGGAGUAUCAUACCCCGGGGACAAGAAAUUGUGAGCGAAGCUGAUAUGAACAACAUGGUGUACCUAAGAGCAGUAAUAAAAGAGUCUCUCAGGCUGUAUCCUGUUGCGCCUCUCCUUGCUCCGCACCUGGCCAUGGCUGACUGUACCAUCCAUGGAUACAUGGUUCCUGCUGGGACACGUGUCGUCGUCAAUGCAUGGGCCAUUGGGAGGGAUUCAAGCUCCUGGGAUGAUGCGGAAGAAUUCGUACCUGAAAGAUUUACAGAUGAAGGCAACGCUACGAAUGUUAACUUCAAAGGGAAUGAUUUCCAGUUCUUGCCGUUCGGGGCAGGACGAAGGAUAUGCCCUGGUAUAAACCUCGGAAUCGCAAAUGUUGAGCUUAUGUUAGCAAACCUCGUGAACCAUUUUGAUUGGGAACUUCCGGUUGGGGUUGAGAGAAAAGAUAUCGAUAUGACAGAGGUGUUCGGGCUAACCGUUCGUAGGAAGGAGAAACUAUUGUUGAUUCCAAAAUCACGCAUGUAA